Anolis carolinensis (green anole) is the source of this 923-nucleotide long non-coding RNA. RefSeq lists it as uncharacterized. The transcript is spliced from 2 exons. The record is from RefSeq and is a predicted model, not a curated record. NCBI's taxonomy places the organism in Eukaryota, Metazoa, Chordata, Lepidosauria, Squamata, Anolidae.
CGCGGGGGUGGCUUUUUACCUCCUGGGUGGCAACAGGUCCCCGGGUGGCAGGAGUAAGAAGACUCGCACGAGCAGCAAAGCAGCGGCAGAAGGAAGAAGUUGCCGGGAAGUAAGUUGCCUUCUUGGCCAGCGCCAGGCAGAUUCCCCACCUCAGGGAAGGGAAGGCCUGCUGCUUCACCAAGGGGACUGAAACUUAAUCUUCCUUCAAUCUCACUCUCUGAAGAGAAAACAGGAUAAACAGAGGGAAACAAAAGUGACUGAGUCCUAAUAGGAUUUUGUGCUUUGUUUAAGCCUUGCCCGUAUAUAUAUGGCCUGGGACUAAAAUAAAUGGAUGACAAGGCCAGAAAUUCAAAUGAGAUCCACGGUGUGAUCCAUGCACACACUUUGUACACAUUGCCGGAUUUACUAUUGUUGCCACAGAAGUUCCCAAUAGUGUUUCACUUCAAAUUGCUUUCUGUCUGCCUGUACCCAUUACAGAGGGAAAAAGCAAUGCCCUCUUGGCCUGUUUCAUAAUAUACAUGAGGGAAUGUUUCUUCUUCAUUGUCCUAUAAACAUCUAACUACAAAUACCCUUCAGGGGCCCUUUUUCCACCUUGUACAUACGCUGCUGACAUUAAUUGGGUAACAGUGCUGUCACCCAAUUAAAUACUUUUUCACUGCAUAAGUGUUCAUCAAUUAAGCAAGUGAUUGAGAGCUAAAUCUCAUUCUUAGUUUCAACUAGAAUCAACCCGUUUAAUGAAUGGGACUUACAUUAAUGUUUACUGAUUGCAUUCUUAAUGACUGAAUAGACCUACUGUAGCUGGCACUAAGAAUUAGCCCUAAAUUAUAUGAAUCCCUAUAUUUAUUUAUUUACCGAGUCCCCUCGGGGAGAAGGGCGGGGUAUAAAUGCAUGUAAUAAAUAAAUAAAAAAAAUAUUUAUUCCUU